Molecule: non-coding RNA, 929 nt
Organism: Hydra vulgaris (swiftwater hydra)
Lineage: Eukaryota; Metazoa; Cnidaria; Hydrozoa; Anthoathecata; Hydridae
Source: RefSeq, a predicted model, not a curated record
UGUUACCAUGACAAUAAAUAUUUCAACUUAAUUUUAUCAAAAAUGCCUCGCGAUCCCUUUCCUCAUCCAAGAUUUGAAAACGACAACGAUUUUACAUCUGCUAAACAUGAAUUGCUUUUCUCGUUGAUAUAAACCAACCCACCAAGUUUCAUCAAAAUCUGAGGGGGUCCAUGUUGGACCCUGGUUCACUUGGCAUGGAAUGACCAAAAGGUUUCUUUUGGCACAUUUGCAGUUUCUAAAUCUAAACAAAAUGUACCCUGGAAUCAUCUUUAUGAAACAAAAACACUGGCUAGUGAAAGAAGAACUGUUUACCACGAUGAUCCACAGGUUGUAUAUAAAAUGUAGUAACGUUUUUAAUUUAUGUAUGAUAAAAGUCUCAUCCAUUACAAUGAAAAUGGUUUUAAUCACUUUACAACAGUUUUUAGGACUGUUUUGUAAUAGUUUAUUUAAUUUUUAGGCCCCUCGUGAUAGUUUAGACUUUGUAAUAAAAUCUGUGUAUAAUCAUCAUAAAGACUUCCUUCGAUCAAAUGCAGAAACAUUAUAUCAACCGGAAACAUUGAACCUUCAAAAUUUGUAUAAAUAGUUUACUGUUUAGAUUAGUUACUUUCAUUUAAUUUGUUGAGUUUAUUUCAUUUAGCUAUUCAGAUAUCAGAUCAAUAAAUUUUUAUUAGUCAUUAUUUAGUUGUUGAAUAAGUUAUUAUCUCUUGAAGUAUCAUUUUUUAUUCAGUUUUUGUGUAUAUUUCUAUACAAAGCUUGUUCUUUUUUUCAUAUGUUAAGUCGCCUGGUAAAUAAUAAAGAUACGCAGAAUCAGGGCCAAAAUAAAGAUAGUCUUCCAGUUAUAUCUGUAUCAGACAAAAGAGAAAGUAUCCAUUGCAUAAAUGGAGCAAUAUCAAGCCAUCAUUGUGCUGCUACAAAUCGUGGUUACUCAA